This 1986-nucleotide ribosomal RNA is filed under the name feces metagenome. RNAcentral's name for it is "bacterial LSU rRNA". It matches the Rfam family "Bacterial large subunit ribosomal RNA", at positions 1 to 1996 of the family's 2925-position model. The record is from RNAcentral.
UUAAGUGAAUAAGGGCGCACGGUGGAUGCCUUGGUACUAGGAGCCGAUGAAGGACGGAACGAACACCGAUAUGCUUUGGGGAGCUGUAAGUAAGCUAUGAUCCAGAGAUUUCCGAAUGGGGGAACCCAACAUUUUUAAUCGAAUGUUACUCUCAAUUGAAUACAUAGAUUGAGUAGAGGUACACGCAGGGAACUGAAACAUCUCAUUACCUGCAGGAAGAGAAAGAAAAAUCGAUUCCCUGAGUAGCGGCGAGCGAAACGGGAAAAGCCCAAACCAAUAAGCUUGCUUAUUGGGGUUGUAGGACUGGAACGUGAGACUGAGAUUUAUAGCAGAAGAUGUCUGGGAAGGCACAUCAAAGAAGGUGAUAAUCCUGUAUGCAAAAUAAAAAUCAGCUCUACCAGUAUCCUGAGUACGGCGGGACACGAGGAAUCCCGUCGGAAUCCGCCAGGACCAUCUGGCAAGGCUAAAUACUACCUAGUGACCGAUAGUGAACCAGUACCGUGAGGGAAAGGUGAAAAGAACCCCGGGAGGGGAGUGAAAUAGUACCUGAAACCGUGUGCUUACAAGUAGUCAGAGCCCGUUAAUGGGUGAUGGCGUGCCUUUUGUAGAAUGAACCGGCGAGUUACGUUUACAUGCGAGGUUAAGAUGAAGAGUCGGAGCCGUAGCGAAAGCGAGUCUGAAUAGGGCGACAGAGUAUGUGGACGUAGACCCGAAACCAAGUGACCUACCCUUGUGCAGGUUGAAGGUGCGGUAAAACGCACUGGAGGACCGAACCAGGACACGUUGAAAAGUGUUUGGAUGACGUGAGGGUAGCGGAGAAAUUCCAAUCGAACUUGGAGAUAGCUGGUUCUCUCCGAAAUAGCUUUAGGGCUAGCCUCGGAAUUGAGAAUCUUGGAGGUAGAGCACUGUUUGGACUAGGGGCCCAUCUCGGGUUACCGAAUUCAGAUAAACUCCGAAUGCCAAUGAUUUAUAUCCGGGAGUCAGACUGCGAGUGAUAAGAUCCGUAGUCGAAAGGGAAACAGCCCAGACCACCAGCUAAGGUCCCAAAAUAUCUAUUAAGUGGAAAAGGAUGUGGAAUUGCACAAACAACUAGGAUGUUGGCUUAGAAGCAGCCAUCAUUUAAAGAGUGCGUAAUAGCUCACUAGUCGAGUGAUUCUGCGCCGAAAAUGUACCGGGGCUAAAUAGAUUACCGAAGCUGUGGAUUCAUCCUUUUAGGAUGAGUGGUAGGAGAGCGUUCUAAGGGCGACGAAGCAUGAUCGUAAGGACAUGUGGAGCGCUUAGAAGUGAGAAUGCCGGUAUGAGUAGCGAAAGACGGGUGAGAAUCCCGUCCACCGAAUAACUAAGGUUUCCUGGGGAAGGCUCGUCCUCCCAGGGUUAGUCGGGACCUAAGGCAAGGCCGAUAGGCGUAGUCGAUGGAUAACAGGUUGAUAUUCCUGUACUUCUAUAUUUCGUUUGAACGAUGGAGGGACGCAGGAGGCUAAGAAAACCAUGCGAUUGGAAGAGCAUGGCUAAGCAAUAAGUUGGUUGAUGAGUAAAAUGCUUGUCACAUAUACAACAAGUUGUGAUGGGGAGGGAAAUAAAGUACCGAAGUUUCUGAUGUCACACUGCCAAGAAAAGCUUCUAGUUAGAAAUAUUGAACCCGUACCGCAAACCGACACAGGUAGUUGAGGAGAGAAUCCUAAGGUGAGCGAGCGAACUCUCGUUAAGGAACUCGGCAAAAUGACCCCGUAACUUCGGGAGAAGGGGUGCUGACCAAUGGUCAGCCGCAGUGAAUAGGCCCAGGCGACUGUUUAUCAAAAACACAGGUCUCUGCAAAAUCGAAAGAUGACGUAUAGGGGCUGACGCCUGCCCGGUGCUGGAAGGUUAAGAGGAGAGGUUAGCUCUUGAAGCGAAGCUUUGAAUUGAAGCCCCAGUAAACGGCGGCCGUAACUAUAACGGUCCUAAGGUAGCGAAAUUCCUUGUCGGGUAAGUUCCGACCCGCACGAA